This 402-nucleotide ribosomal RNA is filed under the name uncultured bacterium. Its description in RNAcentral is "bacterial SSU rRNA". It matches the Rfam family "Bacterial small subunit ribosomal RNA", at positions 362 to 758 of the family's 1533-position model. The record is from RNAcentral.
UUUUGGACAAUGGGGGCAACCCUGAUCAGCAAUGCCGCGUGAGUGAAGAAGGCCUUCGGGUUGUAAAGCUCUUUUGUCAGGGAAGAAACAGCAGCUCUAACACAGUCUGCGAAUGACGGUACCUGAAGAAUAAGCACCGGCUAACUACGUGCCAGCAGCCGCGGUAAUACGUAGGGUGCGAGCGUUAAUCGGAAUUACUGGGCGUAAAGCGUGCGCAGGCGGUUAUACAAGACAGGCGUGAAAUCCCCGGGCUUAACCUGGGAAUGGCGCCUGUGACUGUAUAGCUAGAGUGUGUCAGAGGGGGGUAGAAUUCCACGUGUAGCAGUGAAAUGCGUAGAUAUGUGGAGGAACACCGAUGGCGAAGGCAGCCCCCUGGGUUAACACUGACGCUCAUGCACGAAA